GAGAGGACAACCAGCAGCAAGGGGGAUGGGUUCAGUUACAGUGGCGAUGAGGGCACUGUUGAGAGACUUGAAAGAACAGGCUGGGGACAGAUGGUCCUGGAGAAGGCCUAUCUCUGUGGUCACUAAGAGUUGACAAUGACGUGAUGGCAUGUAAUCACCAUAAUCAUCUCGUAAGUUCAAAGCAGUUUAUAUCCUUUUUUUUCAUGAGAAUAUACAGAUAAAACAGGGACGCUGGACGGCCAAUACAAGGAAACUAUAAUUAGGAAAAAAGGCAUUUUUAGGAGACCAUCUUUGAAGCAUUUCCAACAGUUUGCUUCAAUAAAAUUGUGCUAAUUUAAGAUGGAUGGUUGGUGAAAUGCUUGCUCUGGAGAGACGUGCCUGGUACGCAUCACACUUGCUGCCAGUUCAUUUCGCCAAGGAUUUGGGCCUGAACUGCUUCCCUCUGUCCGCAAAUGGUUUUUCUGCUGUUUUUCCUUCCCGGCCUGACUUUUAGGCUGAUCUCCCAGGCAAUGAGAGGUUAAUGUGCUUCUUGUAAUUGCUCUAAUUUGCCCUUAGAGAACUUCAAUUUCAUUUUUGACAGCUCCUUUGGGCAUUUGUUAAGGGGUAGCGAUCAGAGUCUGAACAAGCAAGAAAUGGAGGCAACUUUAUAAAUGUCCUGGGGCAGUUUGCUGACAUUCCUCUCUCACGUGCUAUGGCUGUGUCCUGCUCACAUUUCUUUCCCAUCAUAACAUAUCUCAGAGCAAAAAAUAAAGAAGGGUUUACAAUGGACCACAAAGAGGGCACAGGAUGUUUAUGAUAGAGCAGAUACAUGAUAUGGUAUAAUUGUUUCUGCUCCCGGUGAGGACAGAGCUGCUGAGAGGGUUGCUGAUAAGCCGAAGAGAGGCUGGUUAGGGAGACGAAUGUCCUUUGUGUUUUCAGAGCUGGGGAAGCAGCCAUUUCGUUUGUCCUGCAAUGCUGGUGUAACCUGACACCGACAGCAUCUCACACUCAGGGAGACGUUCAACCCACAAUCUCCAUCUUGAGACUGACCGUGAAUGAACCGCAGAACUCCACUCUGAAACGUCUGGCCAAAUUUAAAGGGGGGGGGGAGUGGCUUCUUUCCCAUCCCCAGUUAUUUGUAGCCUCCUGCCUGAUGAAGUGCUCGGAGCCUGGCACGGUCUUGCCUGCCCUUCAGUUAAAUCUAUUUGUCUCCGUAAAGCUAUUGCUCUCCUAUAGAUUUGGGGACUUCCCCCCCAGAGGGCAGAGACUGUGAACGCGUUUGGACGAUUCUGCAUCUACAGGGUGUUUUGUCCUCACCGAAUGACGUGGGCUUCAGACUGGCCACCUCCCCGUGCACAUUCUGUCCACCUUUCCAGCAGCACAGGGGAUCCAGUUCUGUGGAGGAGGGAGAAGGAGGGACUUCGGAAGCCCUCCCGGCGCGGAUCUGCCAGGCGAAGGAGGGUUGGCUCGGUUUAGUGCUGGGUGGCAGAUCCUGAGGAGACACCAGGCUCCAAGCAGGACAGAGGAGUCAAUCAAACAUCCCAGAAGACAAAGGAACUUCUGUACUGCAGCCAAGAAAACCGCCUGCCUGCCUCCAGCAGGUGCACAGCCCUGGAUUUUGGAGAAAAUCCAGGUUUAGCUGCACAGACCACUUUGCAAGAAACCUCCGGGACGUGCGACGAGUCUCUGAGAUGCAAUUGGAAACUCUGCCCCCUGGUGGCUGAUCAUCAAACGACAACCAGAUGGCAGUUCUUUGACCCAAGGAGGAGAAACAACGGUGCUUAAAUUCAGGCCUGUCCUGUGCACCUGAAGGAGGUGAACAGGCCUUAAAUUAGGACUUGUGGCACUGAGGAACAGCCAGACAACGAUGCUUGGUCAGAAUAUGGAACGCUAACGCCUAACUGGCACGCCAAGCAAGGUCCAAAAUGCUUCGUUAAGGAAAUACCAGCUCCAGAGCACAAAGCCGUGUGCAACCUUUAGCCUGGUCCAGAAGUCUUCCUCGGAAAAGAAAGGCAUGGAAAGGCAACUGGCAUCAAACUGAAGGGCGCCUGCAGGAGGGGACCAAAAAAGCCAAGCAGCAACUGUGGUCAAGCCGUUGAAGCCUGUCCUUUUUACUACACAACGCACGUCACUUCUUUGAGCCCCUCCUGCAGACCCCUCGGUGAAAUUGCGUAGCUAAUUUAUCUUCCAAGAAUAAAACCCCAGUUUCUCAUGGCAUCGAGUCAACGUCCUCCAAUGUGGCAACCCUUCCUCGGAAAUAAAAAUUCCAAGUCCCACAAAAUACACAGGUAGUCCACCAGACUGGCCUUGAGCAAAUUCCCAACAUGCAUUAGAGGUCUUCCAGUUUAAGCAAGGACGGGCGCUUGAUGACCGCCCAGGUGACCGGAAAGAAAGGGAAGGAAAAUGCCCCAUUUUCCUGCCCUUCUGCCAUCGCGCCUGCCUUCGGCUACAAGGGAUCACGACCCAGCGCAGCUCCUCGCAAGAUUGACCUAACCAGAGGCUUCUUUCCCAUGCUGGCGAUCGACUGCUUUCCACCCGCAUCCUCGCCCUCUUCUAGGGCGAACCAG
Long non-coding RNA from Python bivittatus (Burmese python), 2546 nucleotides. RefSeq lists it as uncharacterized. The record is from RefSeq and is a predicted model, not a curated record. Lineage: Eukaryota; Metazoa; Chordata; Lepidosauria; Squamata; Pythonidae.